RNAcentral lists this ribosomal RNA (420 nucleotides) under uncultured bacterium. RNAcentral's name for it is "bacterial SSU rRNA". It matches the Rfam family "Bacterial small subunit ribosomal RNA", at positions 77 to 493 of the family's 1533-position model. The record is from RNAcentral.
AGCUUGCUUCUCUUGAGAGCGGCGGACGGGUGAGUAAUGCCUAGGAAUCUGCCUGGUAGUGGGGGAUAACGUUCGGAAACGGACGCUAAUACCGCAUACGUCCUACGGGAGAAAGCAGGGGACCUUCGGGCCUUGCGCUAUCAGAUGAGCCUAGGUCGGAUUAGCUAGUUGGUGGGGUAAUGGCUCACCAAGGCGACGAUCCGUAACUGGUCUGAGAGGAUGAUCAGUCACACUGGAACUGAGACACGGUCCAGACUCCUACGGGAGGCAGCAGUGGGGAAUAUUGGACAAUGGGCGAAAGCCUGAUCCAGCCAUGCCGCGUGUGUGAAGAAGGUCUUCGGAUUGUAAAGCACUUUAAGUUGGGAGGAAGGGUUGUAGAUUAAUACUCUGCAAUUUUGACGUUACCGACAGAAUAAGCAC